RNAcentral lists this ribosomal RNA (253 nucleotides) under uncultured bacterium. RNAcentral's name for it is "partial 16S ribosomal RNA". It matches the Rfam family "Bacterial small subunit ribosomal RNA", at positions 524 to 776 of the family's 1533-position model. The record is from RNAcentral.
UACGGAGGGGGCGAGCGUUGUCCGAAGUUACUGGGCGUAAAGCGCGUGUAGGCGGGUUGCCAAGUCCGCUGUGAAAGCCCGAGGCUCAACCUCGGAGGGUCGGUGGAUACUGGCAGUCUUGAAGUGGCUAGGGGGAGAUGGAAUUACCGGUGUAGCGGUGAAAUGCGUAGAGAUCGGUAGGAACACCAGUGGCGAAGGCGGUCUCCUGGAGCUAACUUGACACUGAGACGCGAAAGCUGGGGGAGCGAACGGG